UUGGACUCUGGCAGCGUCUCUUUGGAGUCUGAGGUGGAAGAGUUGUUGUGGUGUUUUGUUGGAGGAGAGUGAGUCUAUGUGGUGUAGUUGAAGUGAGAGAGGUUCAGAGUCGGAUAGAGAUUCUUGUUCUGAUUCUUGUGGCCAUGAGAGGGUUGAAGGGUUAGGGAGAGAGUGAAUAGGUAGAGUUUGGGUUUGGAAAAGAGUGGUGGUGGUGGUGGAUGAGAGUGUGAAGGAGAUAGCUAAUAAUAGGAAGAGAAGGGUUCUUUUGUUGUAGUUCUCUUCCAUUGUAGUGAGAGUGAAGAGAAAAGAGUGUGAUAUGAGAGUAGUAGAAAUGGUGAAUAAAUAAGUAGUGGUACUAGUAGUAAGUAAUAAUUGAAUGAGAAGAGAGUGAGAGUGAGGUUCGGUGCGGUUGUGUUGAAAUGAGUGUGGGGUGGCUGAGUCAGUGCAGUGAUUGUUGUCUAACCAUAUUAGAUUACAUUACCCGUGUAAAAAUGAAUUAUUAUUAUUGCGUGUAGUUGGGUAAGGUUGGUGUUGUUGGGGUAGAGCUGGAUAUCAUUACCAGUAAUUGCUUUGCCUUUAUUGUUAUUCUAGAUAGACGGGUGAGUUAUGUUAUGGAGAAUCUUUCAUUGCUUCUUGCAAUUAGUUAUGGUAAGUAGUUACACUACCAACAAGUGGCCAAUGUCCAAUUUGCUACUACUAUGUGGCCAAUGCCCCAUGCAUUUAGUGAAUUUCUAUUCAAACUAAAUUUUGUAACUAGUUUCUUACGUUUGUUCAGAAUACUAAGUUUGUAAUUUUUAUCACUAAAGUAACAUUAAAUAUCGUUAAAAAUGUGUUAAGAAAAUAUUAUUAAUAGAUAAUUUUAUCUCUAAUGUGGCAUCUCUUUUAUUUUCUUAUAAUAUUAAACUAAUUAUUAUAGUUAUAUAAUCUUUCUGUUGAGAUAAUCAUUUAAAUUUAAAUUUAAAUUUUGCAAUUCAAAACAAAAAUUAAUAGUCAAGCGGAAACUUCUGAUAGUUGUAAGUGGAAAAAAAUAUUUUGUAAUUGAUAAAAAAAUAAUUAAUAUUUGGAUAAUUUUUUCGAAGGGAAUCAGAUGAAACCAUAAAACCAUAGAAAUUAAGUGUUUGAGAGGUUUUUUUUUACAAGAGAGGAAUGUCCAUCAUUUUUGUGGUCUUUCAAGUUCUUCUUUGUAUCCGUGUCACCCCUUUUGAUCAGUGUCACCCCUUUUGAUAUUCUCUUUGGAAUCUCUUAUGUAAUUCUCCUUUCAAUCCUUUUUCUUUGACUUUUUCUAUAAUGAGAUACCCCUACGCUUCCUAUGCUUGAAUUCUCAAGGAAAUGUAUGUCGUCUCACUAAUGACUACUAAUCAUGAGUUGCAACAGUUCAAACAUCAAUUUUGUAACCUCUAUGUGACCCUGUUCGCACGGGUUUUUGGGCGAAGAAUCUCUAACCUCCUAUUGAGGUUUACUUGCAGGAUCAGCUACAAAAUCCUAGACUAAGUGUUAAGUUUAUGAGAUGUUUUAUUUAAAUGUUUGGAUUAAGAAAACAAUAGACACGAAAUGCAUGUAAAAGGUGCAAUUAAAAUAGAUGGACGAAAGACAAGAUAAACCGUAAAUGGCAAAGUAGAUAAAAAGACUUGGUAAUUUAAAUUGCUUGAAGGUAAAUGUGGACGCAAUCAUACAUUUUCGUAGGAAUGAACUUUUUUCUCUAAAUGCUUGAUACUUUGAGUGUUUUCCCUCUACAAUGUUACAAAUGCGACCUUUAAAACUAACAAUGAACUUUGCUUAAAUAGGAAAUAAAAUUAACUUCUAUUUCGCUCUUGAUGAUUAAUAGCUUGACAUGUGUUUGUCCACUUACUUUAUAACUUCUCACGUUCUUACUAUUUUCAAAUCUUACCCACGUAAACUGUCAUUUGCUUCGACUUCGACCUGCACAUUUUCUAUCUGUCGGACCUAUUUCAACUUGGCCUGUGUUCCAUAUUCGUCUUGUCUGUCGAACCCCUUCGACCAUGUUCACUCUUCUCGACGCUUCGUUUUGUGAUUCCAUACUUCUCGCUUCGAUUUUCCUCUUUUGCUUAGUCAAAAUUUGUUGGCUAACAAAUUUCCCCUUAAAAGGCCAGUUUCGAUUGAGAAACUUGGCGUUUUGUCUUUCCCAAUUUCGACUGGGUGUCUAAUCGUUGUUGAUAUCAUGCGCAAUGACGAAACCUUUAUGUGCCAUGAUUUCUAAGGGGAGAUAUCAUCAUUUGCAGUUACUUCCUAGGUCGUGGAUUUUCAACCACCUUUAUUAACUUUCCACUAUAGUAGAAACUGAACAUUUUUUUACCCUAGACUGUCUCUUGGUUGGCCUCAACUUUUGCUUACAAAUACCAUUCUUUCACAUUUUUUGUUUUCCUUCUUCUCUGUUUGCGUAUAUUUUUCUAUAACUUUCAGAACAAUAAUACUUUCCUCAUUUCCCUUCUUUCUUCCAUUAAAGUGGCCUCUUCUGCUAACGCUAUGGAUGCAGUCACCUAUAACACUGGUAACAACCCCGUUGCUUUCAACCUCACUGAAGAAGAAAUUCUAAAACCCAUUCCUCAACCAGCAUCUACUAACGAAGUUGUAGUAGAGAUUUGACAACGUCAAAUGCUCAUUCCCUUUGUUGUUGCUGAUAAAUUCCUCGCUUUCCACGAGCCAUAUCGAAAUACAAAAAUGCAAUUGAAAAACGUCCAAUCAUACUUUCCUUGCUUUACUCCAGCUGUUCCACCGGCCUUUGAGAAGAAUGGUUCCAUCGACCUGAAGUUCAUGGACCCAAAGGCCAGGGUUUUUAGGUCGAUGCCCACUCUUGGUAACAAAGAGUAUGUGGCUUGGCUCAACAAAUUCCAAAACAAACGUCAGGAAUAAUGGAAAACGGUUGGCAUCUUCGACUCCAUCCAAAUUUCGAGGAACCCCAUCGAAUCAACCCAUGUAUGUUACUUGCUUCGAUGUACUUCUGGGAAGGUUCGACUAACACCUUACAACUCCCUUAUGGCAUGUUUACGCCUACCCUUUUCGACAUGGCAGCCAUCACUGGUCUCUCAUCUCUGGGCGAAACCUUCGACCCAACUCUUUUGACGGAAAACAGUUUUGCCUUCAAUCGUGCAAGUUUUUAGAAUUACAUUGAAAAUCACUAUGAUCAGGACUCCACUGAAGUGUCCGACGAGGAACACAUUGCUUUCCUAACUCUCUAGCUCUCAUAUUAUUUGUUUUGUCAUGGCUCUCUAUAGAUAGCUAAGAGCUAUAUAAGCUUGGAGAUCCAAAAUCAUGAAGGUAGAUUGGUCUCUUUGGGCAAGCUUCUGCUAGCAUCUCUUUACCACUAUCUAGGGCUUACGACACUGAAGCUAAAGUUUCUCCACUCUACUUCUAAGGCCUUAAAUAUGUCUGGCCCUAUGUGGUGCUACAACACUAGCUAAAUGCCACUUUCGAGUAUCGGUUGGGUUAUCUUGUGUCGGUGUGUAUGAUGCGUUUGACCCAGGAUCAGCCUAUAGAAGGUGUAAGACUUGCCUUGAUGAUAUGUCAGGAGACCCCCUACAAACAUAUUUUCACGAAGUACAUUAAUAUGUUCAUUGAAGCCACCUCUUUUGUUCUAGGCAUGGCCCCUUUUGUGGAUAGAAACUUUGGUCUAACAUGGUUCAAAAACCUUUUUCCUGGUGACUCUCCAUAAGCUGUAGCACUGCCGAACACUGUGUGGAUGGCAUUUCUGACUCCCACAAUGUUGUCCUUUAGGAUAAAGAAUGGGUCGAAGGGGUAUGGAUUUAUGAACUAUCAGUCCAACUUGGUGGCUCAACAAUUUGGCUUGAGUGAGAUGCUGCCAAAAUCUUUGGUGUAUCAAUUAACUGAUAUUGUGUGGGCUGGUCAACAACUAAACUUUAAAGGUCACAAAGCUUGCCUUAAAUUUCACAAAUCGACUCAGCACCUUGAGUUACCCGUUUUCAAAUUUCACCAAUCAUUCUUAACGACCAAGGACUUCAACAAGUAGUGGUCUGAAUACCAACACAAGUAUUUCCCCAAUGCACUCUUCCUCCAAAAUUUGAUUGACGUUUUUUCUGCCCUUGCUGGUGAAACACUGGCUUCACAGCCGAAUACUGACGCUCCCGUCGAGAACAUACAAACUAUUGAUGCCGAUGAGGACCAACCAAAGAAGGUUAAUAUUGCUUUAUUUCCUUUCCUUUCUUUAAGAAGCAAAACCCACUUACCUUCUCUGUAUUUGUUUUCUAGGGUCGAAAGCGGGCUCCAGUUGCUGCGCCAUCUACUCCGUCCACUUCGGCAAGAAAGAAAAAGAAAGUUCCAGCCAAGAAACCAUCUUUAAAAACUCUUUCUUUGACUACAAAGAUUUUUGUCUCUGACGUUCUUAUUGAGAUCUUUAAACCCAUUGGUCAAGAAGAACCUAUUCCAACUUCCCCAAAACACGUAACUCCCGAGGUAUUUGAACAUUCUUGUUUGGUAACCUCAUGAAUUAUUCCUCGAUAUUGAUCCUAACUUCUUUUUGUAGGGAAAAACGGCUGAUUCGACUCUAUAAGACCCUAAUUUUGAUCCUAAGAUCCCUCAUGUUAUCUCAUCGUAUGCAUUGGGAUCACACUUUGGCAUUCUCCUUACCCCUCAUUCAUUAGGUUUGCAUUGGGAGAGAUCACCAAGCACAUUUUAUUGUAUCAUACUUCAUUUUUCUUUGUUUACUAACCAAAAUACCAAAAAUAUGUCAUUUGUAUAGAUUAACUCUUUUGUAGGUGGUGUGCAUGCUCACCUAUGCUCUAUCAAGCUCAUAUCUAGGGUUUAACACCCUCAUUGCAAGGAGCUCAAUCAAUAAUUGGUCUAUAUUGGCUCUAAUUAUCAUAUAUGAAUCCCCAUGAUCUUCACAUGUCAUUUUUAUCAAGAAACCAUCAAGAGUUGGGGGUUUUGUUUGCCUUGGAAACCCUAAUUCAUCUGGGUAUCUUGUGUGACUUCUUCAACAAAUUUCUCCAAUAAUUGAUCAAAUAUUCCAAGGUAUACUUCACAUUACAUCAUCUUAUGCAUAUAUGAUCCUCCAUGAGUCCCAAAAGUCAAGAGAAUGUCAAGCUAGCAAAUUGGUUCAUGGUGGUUGACCAGGGAAAGUUAACUGAUCAAAAUUGGGGUUCCCUGGACCCUAUCUCCUACAACUUUUGUCAUAUGAAAAUGAUUCCAAGAUCAAAGUUACUCUAAGUGACAUUUAAAACAACUUUCAGGUUGAGGUCAAGAUCUAAUUUUUCCUGGAAGGUCAUUUUUUAUGGUGAAAGAUUAUAGGGCAUUUUGUCUAAACCCUAAUUUAGAAGUCAACUUCUCAAGACCAUAACUUACUCAAUUUUCAUGAGAUGAAAGCCAAUAAAAUUUCAUAAUCAAAUUCAAGAUGUCUAAGUCAACUUUUAUGUUUGGAGGAAGUGCAAAUUCAACUUGCAAAUGCAUGUGCAAAGAGGAAACAUUAUAGGUCAUUUUGGGCCAAUACCAUUGAACAAGUGAUUUUCCUCAACUUCUAAAAUGCAUAACGCCUCCAUAACAAAUCCAAAUGAGGCCAAAUUUGUCACAAAAUUGAAUAGGUUUGAAAUAACUAUAACUUUGAUGAAGCAACCUUUCUCAUUUUAAGUUCAUAGAAAAAGUUAUUCAAGGUGGAAGAAGUGAACAUUUGACUUGGGACUUAGAAAUUUUUCAAAUAUGUUUGAUUUCUGAAACUUCCACCUCAAAAUUCAUCAUGAUCCAAGCUUCAAAUUAAAAAGUGUUUAACAUGAAAGUUGUUCCCCUUGAUCUCACCAUUCCAAAACAUCCAAGAUGAUAUCAUUUGGACCAAAAUUGAAGGACUUGCACAUGGUUUCAUUAUGGGAAGUGUUUUGGCAAGAUUGAACUUCACAUGAUCAUUUCCAUUUGCAUGUUUGCACAUGAUGGUUUCAGCAGACUUUGUACAUGAUUUGGAAGUGGAUUGCAUCACUCUUGAGGCCCAAAUGAUUGCUCAUGCACCCAUGCAAGGAAGUUGCUAAUUUUGUCCAAUUUUCAAGUGGUGCAAAUAUCAAACACAUUGCCUAUUUAAACAAGCUUAAGGCUUCAGAUUCAUGAUCAACACCUUGCCCAAGCUUUGUUAGACCUCUGCAAACCCUCACUGCCAUAGAAUUUUCUAAGAUUUCUUUUGAAAUCUAGCUUGAACUUCACCUUUUGUUUGGAAGUUAAAACCCCAGAAAGCAAUCAAAUCCAGAUCAAGAUCAAGUGAAAUUGGAUCAACUCGAAUGUGAUUUUUCAGAAAUUUCUCCUCUUCGAUUCUAUUUUAUUUAUCCACUAUUCUUGUUGAUUUUUGGUUGUCUGAAGUCCUACCAAUGUAGGCAACAAGAUUGAGUUCUUUGAGGUCAAAUCGAAGCAACUCAGUUCAUGAUCCUCAAAAUUCAACUCCCUGUAUCUUUUCAUAUACUUGGAAUUUGAUAAAAUUGAGGCCAAAUUCAAAUUCAUGAGCAUUUUUUUCUUUAAAUCCAUGUCUUGCUUUUUCAUUUUGGUGAUGGUUGAAGGUGGACCAGUCUGGUGAGGUCCACCGGAGAAGAAGAUCGGAGCUCUGUCUCCGGCGAUGUGUUGGAAGCAUCUCAACCAUAGGAUCCAUUCAAAUUAUUUUAAUCUUGAGCGUUGUUUCUAAUUACCAAGCGUGCAUCUUAGUUGACCCAUACCUUUGUGGAACGCGCGCUUUGGACCAUCUGAUCUGCCACCUCAAUUAAUGGGGGAGAUCAGAUGGUCCACGUAUUUUUGAAUUUUUGAAUUUUCAUUUUUAUUGCUUUAUUUUCAUUAAUUCAUAUUAAUUUCAUUAUUGAUCCAAAAAAUACGGGACUUUCACCAAAAAAAAUCAAAUGUUUGUCUCUUUUAUUUUCUGAAUUAAAAUUAUCUUUUGGAUCAAUAUUGGUAUUUUUUAUGAUUUAAUUGUUUUUGUGCAUAUUUUUAAUUGUUUAGAAAUACUUUUGACUUUUCAAAAAUAGUGAAAAAAUUUCUCCAAGGUCCUUUGACCUUGUUUGACCUAUGAUAAAUCUCUUGGCCAUUUAUUUCGUGUUUUGAAGAGGUUUUAGGUUUUUGAUAAAACAUAAUUUAAUUUAAUGCAUUUUAAUUUGAUUUUUAUUUGUUUAAAUUGUGAAUAAAUUGUGUUGAGUCAUUUUUAUUGACUUGUGGAGUUUGACUAUUGUGUUUGGGCCUUGGUUAAUGUUGAUUUGACUUUUGUUGGAUUAAAAUCAUUGGAUUUAGGGGAUUGAUGAAAUGUACAUUUCAUCUCCCAAAAUGAAUGAAUGAUUUUAAUUUGAUAAAAUUUCUCCCAUGACCAAUUUGUGUUUGAUUUUGUUGGAUUAAAAUCAUUGGAUUUAGGGGAUUGAUGAAAUGUACAUUUCAUCUCCCAAAAUGAAUGAAUGAUUUUAAUUUGAUAAAAUUUCUCCCAUGACCAAUUUGUGUUUGUCUCAUUCCCCCUCCCUCUUCAUCUUCAAUCCCUUUCUACCCCAUUCCUCUCAUUGGCCAAUGACAUCUCAAUAUCCCAAGGCUAAUUUAUUCAUGAACCAAUACAAGUAUGGAUGAGAUUGGGUCCACCAUUUAAUCAUUUUCUUUUUUGUGUGUGGUAUGUUUUAGGAGUAUGAUUUAUUAUACCAUAUCUCUAACAUGCAUUAACACCAAAAAAUUUAUUGCCCGACCUCAGAUAGUUGUGACUUCUACAUAAGUCCAAUUACGAUUGCUUAACAUAGCGCUAAAUUUUGAUCCAAAAGCAUAGCAUUCUAAUAAGUGAGAUUGUAAGUCUCCCCCCUUUCAUGGUAUUGUGUGGAAACUUGGUCUUUUUUCCUUCCUUUGGAAGAUAUCUUGGUUCAAGGAUCCAUGCUUGUGAAUAGAGGGUUGAGUGUUCUCCAAAGAAUGACUUAAACAAUUGAAAAGUAAAACUCCACUAACUUCUAAUCAACUAACCCUUGACUAACUCUUUAAUUUCAAGUCAUUUACUUUAUGCACUUUAAAUUCAAGCCAUUUAUCAUUUGUCAUUAUACAUAUCAUUUAACCUGUUUAUUUUUAAUGUCAUUUUCACUUUGCUCACUUAAGCCAUAGAUUGUGAUUGUAUAUAUUUGUUUGUUUAUCUUGUUUGUGUGUGUGGUCUUAGGACCUUAAAAUACUCAAUAAACAACAAAAAUCCUAAAAAUAUUUGUGUGGACUGUUGGAUUUAAUCUGAGCAUUGGACUUAGAAUUAGGCAACAUUCCCUAUGCAAAAGGACUUGGCCAAUGCCAACAUUUCUGAAACCAAGUCAUUAUGAUGUGAGCUUUCAUCUAAUGUAAGUUUUGGGAUCCACUUGAGUUCAUCUGCAACUUGGUAUUGAUGAAAAUGUUACUUUGAAUCUGUGUCUAAUGCUUUAUUCUGAGUCAUUCAAGGAGUAUGCCAUCUGAUACACGGGAGCUUAAGAAGAAGACUAUGAAGUUGCUAGCUUGGAUGUGGCUAUAUUUAUUUGAUGCAUUGCUCUUCAUAUUCCUUGUUUAUUGGUAUUUGUUUGAUUCUAAAGUCCAAAGGAAAAAUGGGUUUCUAUAUGACAUUCUUGUCUAUUGGAUUGCAUCCCAUUGGUCAGAUCUUUUCCACUCUUAACUUUUAAGUUUUUGCUUAGGACUAGUCUCUUCAUCUCCUCCCACUUCUUAAAUUUCAAAUCUCUCCCUCUUUUCAAAAAUCUUCUUUGCUUGUGAUUUUUAAACCUAGACCUUAUUGCAAACUAGAAACUUUGGCCUUAUACCAUUGCAUUUUUAAACUCUUUUCUUAAAUCAAAUUUGUAAGUGAAUCUAAUCAUAUUGACUUAAAAUUUCAAAAGACAAAAAGAACUAACACUCAUCCAAACUCUUUUAGGCCCUUUGUGCCUCUUUUUAAUUUAAAAUUUUAUUAAAUGCAAUUCACUCACUUUGAAAUUGAUACCAUAAACUACGAGGUUUUGAUCCCUCAUUUUCAUGUUGGUAUGUAGGCAUAAGUCUGAAGAUCUUGUCAAACACAAAAAUAUAAUUAAUGAGUUCUUUUCUCAUCUCCUCACUCUAUUUAUUGCAAACAUAAUUUUAUACUAAAACACAUGCACAUAUAAAAAAGGGCUUCCUAGGAGUACCUAUGACACUUUGGGUGCUAACACCUUCCCUCUGUGUAACCAACCCCUUUACCUGUAAUCUCUCGCAUUUUAUUAGUUUUGAUUUGAAAACUUCUUAUCUUUGGGUUUUGUUCGUACUUUUCCCUUUUCCUUUGGAAACAAUAAAAUCACGGUGGCGACUCUGGUUUUAUUGACGUUAAGUUUAUCCAUAACUUAAUGGUCAUGAAUUUACCGCUACAGACUCUUGCUGAGGCUAACAACAACGUAAGGGUCGAAACUGAGAAUCCAGCUGAGACUGCCACCCUUUUGAGUCCCCAAAAAAUUGAUGAGUUUCACGACACAUAUCAAAUUCAAGAUCCUUCAACCGCUGUUGGCAAAGGUAAUACAACCGCUACUAUUGGCGAAACCCUUUUGACUACUACUAGCAAUCUGAUUGGAAAAGAAAAAUCAAAUCCCCUAUCCUCUAAAAAAAUUCCCCCCUUGUGUAAGACAAAAGUUCCAAUGGUACUCUUUCUCUAGAGAAGAUUCUAUCUAUGAAGCAUCAGAAUCUAGCAGAGACAUUGAGAAGGCUAUAGAAGCAUCGCCAAGCAUCGACUGAUGUUCAACCCUCUGGCUCGACUGCCAUGCCUAUUCCAGAAAUGGAUGCUUCCGUCAUUCUCAAACUCCAACAGUGAAAAACCUAUUUGUUUGAGCGUGAAAUUUUGGUCGUCGUCGCAGAGGAAGAGGCCUUGGGGGUCGACGUCCUCAAGCUUCUUGACGAGCUUUCUCAACAUAAAGUUCCUGCUCCUGUGGCCAAAUAUCUGAUUGAAUUUGAAGCCUUCUUCACUCACCUUGUCAAAUACCUCACUCUUCAUCGGCACGUUGACUUCCAAAUUAAAACGAAGCUCAACGAGAUGAGACGAGAAUGGGACUUCAGCGAAAUUUAUGAAAGGAAACACAAUAAUUUUGAGACUAAGAAGCAAGAGCAUUUCAACUAACGACAAGCCUUUGACCAGAAAAUCUCAAACUAUCAGGCUCAAAUGGCUGAACUCGCCAAGAAAAUUGCUGAAGUCGAGAAACAAAAAGCCUCAUUAGAUUCAACUGAGACCCUGCCGGCUCAAGAUGUUAUUGAUUAGGAAGUUUUUAAAGGAAUUUCACAUGGUGAGAAGGCCUUUGAGAUUAAAGAAAGUAUUGACCAACUGCAGGAGAAGAGGGACCUCCUCGACAACAGGAUUGAUCAUGAGAAGACUCUUUUUGAAGACUUUAAGUCUAGAUUUCCUGCCUAAUGUAUUUCUCUGUCGAGACUAUGUAACUCCGCUUGGAGAUUCUGAAUGCCAUCUUGGCUUUUUCCAUUUUAGCUUUGAUCAUUAAUGACAAGUUUUAUUACCUUUUGAUUUGAAUCUCUUGGAGCAUAGGUUUAUAUUUUUUCAAAUAUUUCCCAUUUACCCUUAAGAUUUGUCGACCAAUACCCAACUCUUGAAUUUCAUAGGCAUUAUUCGUAAACGUUUGGAUUACUUGAAAUGGUCCCUCCCGAUUUGGUGACUAUUUUCCUAAAGUUUGAUCUCUUUGAUCCAUAGGUAAGAUCACCUUCCAAAAGUAAUCAUUUAUUGCAAAAGUUUCUAUCUUGGCCUUUUUAUUAUAUGCUUUAGCCACACACACUUUUUGUCGUAACAACAUGUCUAUUGCAGCCAACCUUUCUUCGUCUAAAUAGGUCUUUUCGUCGAACAUCAGUCUCCAAUAUUAUUCUGACGGAUUAUCGUUUUUCCGCUACACUCUAACUGAUUAUAAACGGAUUUUUGCUGGCAACACGACAUCAUGCCCAAAUGUCAAACAGAAAGGCGUUGAAUUGGUUACCUCCUUUGGGGGUGUUCGACAAGCCCAUAGAAUUUGAUCUAAUGUUUUAUGCCAAUUCUUAGGUUUCUUGGAAACGUUUUUUUAUUAACCCGAUUAUCACUUUAUUGGUUUCCUCAACUUGGCCAUUUUCUUGGGCGUAGUAAGGUGUGGAAGUAACCAAAUUGAAUCCUAUUUCAGCAGCAAACUCUUGCAUCUUUUGACAAACAAAAACUGAACCUUGAUUUGUAGUAAAGAUUUCAGGAAUUCCAAACCUAUGCACAAUAUGUUUUUGAAUGAAUUCAAUCACAUCCUCUUGAUCCAUUUUUAUCAAAGGGAUAACUUCUAUCCAUUUUGUGAAAUAGUCUAUACCUACCAGGAUAAAUUUUUGUUGUUUCAACGAGGCUGGUCGAAUCUCACCGAUUACAUCUAACGCCCAACCUCGAAAGGGUCGGGGAUUGAUGAUUACAUGCAACUCGUUGACUGACACAUGUUGAAUGCUUGCAUGUAUCUGACAUUCUUGACACACUUUGGAAAAGUCAAUGCAGUCUUUUGACACACUUGGCCAGUAAAUACCUUGUCAAAAUAAUAACCAUUUCAUUUUAUGGCCGUCUUAGUGAGCUCCACAUAUUCCACUAUGUACCUCAGACAUUGCCAAGUAUGCUUCAGUAUCCCUAAGAGAAACACUCCUUCUAGAGUCUUUUUCAAUAACUCAUUUCACAGACAUACAUAACUUAACGCUCUAUACUUGAUUUUCUUGUUAGUGUUUCCGACUGGAUUUUCUAAGCACUCCAUGAUUAGUUUUCUCCAAUCUGAUUGUGACAAAUUGUCAAUGGCAAAAACUUUAUGUAUUUCAUAAUUUUCAAAUUUUCCAAAAAUUUUACUUGACAUCUCCCCCCCAUUUUUUAGGAUUGCCAUUUUGGGUGACGACGAGACAUUCGACGUCAUCUUUUCUUUCACCUUCAUAAAGUCAUUGAGCCUAUCUUUUGACAAUUUAUACCCAGAUGCAAUUUGUGCUAAAUCGUUAGCUUCUUGAUUCUUUAUUCUAGGCACAUGUGUGAUGCUGACAACCUUGAAGUACUCUAAUAGGCGUUUCUCCAUUGCGAAAUACAACAUUAGAUUUUAUUUAAUGCACUUAUAUUCUCGUUGGAUUUGUUUGAUCACUAGCUCAAAAUCACCCUUUAUCUCGACCUUCUUGGCUUCUAAAUCCCUCAAGAUUUUAAGGCCAGUGAUUAGGGAUUCGUAUUCUGCCUCAUUAUUGGAACAAUUUACGUCGACUUUACAUUUGAACUUCGUCAGAAUACCUUGUAGGGAUAAUAUUAAGAUCCCAACAUCUGUUUCGUUUUUGCGACUUGACCCGUCGAAGUAUAACCUCCAUGGGUUCGUGUCGACCAUGUUUAGUGAUGGUUCGACUAUUGCAUGGUCUACAAUAAAAUCUGCCAAUAUUUGGCCUUUCAUAGACCUCAAAGGCAUAUAUGUUAAAGAAAAUUCAGUUAAUGCUAGUGCCCAUUUCCCAAUUCGACUAUGUAGAAUAGGUUUAGACAACAUAUGUUUAAUAACAUCAAAAUGAGACGAAGCAUAAACAUCAACUGGUUUUAUAUAUUGCUUUAAUUUUAUACAUUAGAAGUACAAUCAUAUGCAUAUUUUUUCAAUCAUAUUGUACCUAGUUUCAACAUCUAUUAAAAUUCGACUGAGGUAAUAAAUGGGUCUUUCGACACCACUGUCAUCCUCUUGUGCUAAGAUACUUCCUAUGGUUGUAUCUGACGCAGCAAUAUAUAACCUCAUAUUCUUAUUCAUACUAGGUGGAAAUAAAAUGAGAGGCUUUGUGAGGUACUCUUUGAUGGCGUUGAAAGCCUCUUGUUGCUCUCGUUUCUAGUGAAAAUCACUUUCCUUCUUGAUCUUGAGCAAUGGCGAGAAAACCUUUGUCUUGCCACUUAGAUUUGAUAUAAAUAUUCUCAAGAAAUUUAUCUUUCCUAACAAAGACCGGAGCUGCUUCUUUGUCGAAUGAGUCUAGAGAUCCAAAAUUGCUUUUAUUUUGUUUUGGUUGAUCUCGAUGCCUUUUUGUUGCACCAAGAAACCCAAGAAGUCUCCUGCAUGUACACCAAAAGCACAUUUUAAUGGAUUCAUUUUUAAUCCAUAUUUUCUCAUCCUCUCAAAUGAGCGUCGAAGAUGGUCCAAAUGACCAUUUUCAGAUGAAUACUUUAUCACAAUAUCAUCAAUUUAUACCUGCAUAAUAUUUUCAAUAAAAUCAUGGAAUAUGGCAUUCAUGGCUCUAUGAUAGGUUGCUCUGGUGUUUUUUUAAACCAAACAGCAUCACAACCCUUUUGUAUGUUCCCAAAGCUCUGGGGCAUCGAAAUGCCAUCUUGAGAACAUCAUUUUCUGCUAUGAGAAUCUUAUUAUAGCCAGAAUAACCAUCAAGCAUACUUAAGUAUUCAAAACCUGUGGCUGAAUCGACUAAGAUUUCUCUGGCCACUGGGAUCGAAUACUAAUAUUUUGGAGUUGCAUUGUUUAAGUCUCUAAAAUCUAUACAGACUCUAAGUGUUCCAUUUUUCUUGAUAACAGGUACUAUGUUGGCUAACCAUUUGACGUACCUUGCAGUUCUGAUGAACCUGUUGUAGCAGUAAAUUCAUGACCAUUAAGCUAUGGAUAAACUUAACGUCAAUAAAACCAGAGUCACCACCGCGCUUUUAUUGUUUCCAAAGGAAAAGGGAAAAGUACGAACAAAACCCAAAGAUAAGAAGUUUUAAAAUCAAAACUAAUAAAAUGCGAGAGAUUACAGGUAAGGGGGUUGGUUACACAGAGGGAAGGUGUUAGCACCCAAAGUGUCCUAGGUACUCCUAGGGAGCCCUUUUUAAUGUGUGCAUGUAUUUUGGUAUAAAAGAUAUUUGAAGAGUGCGUGGAUGAUAAAAGAAUUCAUUGAUUAUAUUUUUAUGUUUGACAAGACCUUCGGACUUGUGCCUACGUACCAACAUAAAAAUGAGGGAUCAAAACCUCAUAGUUCGUGGUAUCAAUUUGAAAAUGAGUGAAUUGCUUUUAACAAAAUUUUAAUAGAAAGGGGGCACAAAGGGCCAAAAAUUUGAAUGAGUGUUAUUUCUUUUUGUCUUUUGAAAUUUUAAUUCAAUAUGAUUAGAUUUAUUUAUAGGUUUAAUUUAAGAAAAGGUUUGAAAAUUCAUUGGCAUAAGGUCAAAGUUUCUAAUCAUUUAAACAGAGUCUAAGUUUGAAAUCACAAGUAAAGAAAGUUUUUUAAAAGGGGGAGAUAUUUUGAAAUUUAAGAAGUGGGAGAAGAUGAAGAGGCUAACGUAAGCAUAAAAUUAAAAGUUAAGAGUUGAAAAGAUCUGACCAAUGGGAUGCAAUCCAACAGACAAGAAUGCUAUAUAGAAAAUGCAUUUUCCCUUUGGACUUUGAAUCAAGCAAUAAUCAAUCAAGAAAUUAGCAAUAUCAGACACCAUGGAGAUCAAGGCAUCAAAUAAAGACAGCCACAUCCAAGCAAGAAAAUCCCAUAGCUAGUAGUCUUCUUUGUCUUCUCAUGUAUCAGAUGAAAUACUCCUUGAUUAACUCAGAAUAAGGCAUUAGACACAAGAUCAAAAUAACAGUUGCAUCAAGACCAUGUAGCAGAUGAGUUCAAAUAAAUCCCAAUACUUGCACCAGAUAAAGGCCCAAUUCACAAUAACUUGGUCUCAAAAUGUUGGCAUUGGCCAAGUCCUUUGCAUAUGGAAUGCUGCCUAAUCCUAAGUCCAAAAGUUCAAAUCAAGCUCAACAGUCCACUCAAACAUUUUUUAGGGUUUUUGUUUUUUAUUAGGUAAUUUAAGGUCCUAAGACCAUAAAAAGAAUCAAAAUACACAAGUAAAUAUAUACAAUCACAAUAUAUGGCUCAAAUGAGCAAAGUGAAAAUGACAUAAACAUAAACAAGUUAAAUGAAAUGGAAAUGGCAAUGAAUGGUAAAUGACUUAGAAGUUAAAUUACAUAAAGUAAAUGACUUGAAAGUAAAAGCAGUAUUAAUAAGAGUUAGUCAAAUGUUAGUCAAGGUUAAUUGAAUGUUAGUGAUAUUUUGUUUUUCAAUUGAUUAAGUCAUUCUUUGGAGAAUACUCAACCAUCUAUUCACAAGUAUGGAUCCUUGAACUAAGACAUCUUCCAUAGGAAAGAAAAAAGGCCAAGUUUCUGCACAAUACCAUGAAAGAUGGGAAACUGACAAUCUCACUUACUAGAAUGAUAUGCCUUUAGGGUCAAAAUUUAGCUUUAUGUUAAGCAAUCAUAAUUGGACUUAUGUAGAAGUCACAACCAUCUGAGGUCGGGCAAUAAAAAUUUAGGUGUUAAUGCAUGU
Molecule: long non-coding RNA, 15186 nt
Filed under: Lathyrus oleraceus (garden pea)
Lineage: Eukaryota; Viridiplantae; Streptophyta; Magnoliopsida; Fabales; Fabaceae
Description: Pisum sativum (pea) long non-coding RNA (PSAT_LNC037166)
Source: RNAcentral